CCUACGGGAGGCAGCAGUAAGGAAUAUUGGUCAAUGGAGGAAACUCUGAACCAGCCAUGCCGCGUGUGUGAUGAAGGCCCUUUGGGUUGUAAAGCACUUUUAUCUAGGAAGAAUGACAGGGAUUUAUCCUUGGAGAGACGGUACUAGAGGAAUAAGCACCGGCUAACUCCGUGCCAGCAGCCGCGGUAAUACGGAGGGUGCAAGCGUUAUCCGGAAUCACUGGGUUUAAAGGGUACGUAGGCGGUUGUGUAAGUCAGACGUUAAAGGCUGUGGCUAAACCAUGGUACGCGUUUGAAACUGCAUAACUUGAAUAUGUUCGAGGUGCAUGGAAUGAGUCAUGUAGCGGUGAAAUGCAUAGAUAUGACUUAGAACACCAAUUGCGAAGGCAGUGCACUAGGGCAUCAUUGACGCUGAGGUACGAAAGCGUGGGUAGCGAACAGGAUUAGAUACCCUGGUAGUCCACGCCCUAAACGAUGCUAACUGGUUAUUUGUAGGAAUAUACAAGUAACUGAGGGAAACCAUUAAGUUAGCCACCUGGGGAGUACGUUCGCAAGAAUGAAACUCAAAGGAAUUGACGG
RNAcentral lists this ribosomal RNA (578 nucleotides) under uncultured bacterium. RNAcentral describes it as "bacterial SSU rRNA". It matches the Rfam family "Bacterial small subunit ribosomal RNA", at positions 338 to 916 of the family's 1533-position model. The record is from RNAcentral.